GUUGGUGAACCAGCGGAGGGAUCAUUACCGAGUUUACAACUCCCAAACCCAAUGUGAACCAUACCAAACUGUUGCCUCGGCGGGGUCACGCCCCGGGUGCGUCGCAGCCCCGGAACCAGGCGCCCGCCGGAGGGACCAACCAAACUCUUUCUGUAGUCCCCUCGCGGACGUUAUUUCUUACAGCUCUGAGCAAAAAUUCAAAAUGAAUCAAAACUUUCAACAACGGAUCUCUUGGUUCUG
RNAcentral lists this unclassified non-coding RNA (240 nucleotides) under rhizosphere metagenome. Its description in RNAcentral is "partial ribosomal RNA internal transcribed spacer region". The record is from RNAcentral.